Molecule: ribosomal RNA, 492 nt
Filed under: uncultured bacterium
Lineage: Bacteria
Description: partial 16S ribosomal RNA
Rfam family: Bacterial small subunit ribosomal RNA
Source: RNAcentral
AACGAACGCUGGCGGUAUGCCUAACACAUGCAAGUCGAACGGCACCACCGUAAGAGCUUGCUCUUACGGGUGGCGAGUGGCGGACGGGUGCGGUAUACUUCGGAAUCUACUUCUUAGGGGGGGAUAACGUAGGGAAACUUACGCUAAUACCGCAUACGACCUACGGGUGUAAGCAGGGGAUCUUCGGACCUUUCGCGAUUGUAUGAGCCGAGGUAGGAUUAGCUAGUUGGCGGGGUAAAGGCCCACGAAGGCGACGAUGGGUAGCUGGUCUGAGAGGGAGAUCAGAUACACUGGCACUGAGAAACGGCACAGACUCUUACGGGAGGCAGCAGUGGGGACUCUUAGGCGAUGGGCGAAAGCCUGAUCCAGCACUAUCGCGUGGGUGAAGAAGGACUUCGGGCUGUAAAGCUCUUUUGUUCGGAAAGAAGAACAGCAGUUUUACCCGGCGUUAUACUGACGGUACCGAAAGAAUAAGCACCGGCUAACUCCGUG